Molecule: ribosomal RNA, 425 nt
Filed under: uncultured bacterium
Lineage: Bacteria
Description: bacterial SSU rRNA
Rfam family: Bacterial small subunit ribosomal RNA
Source: RNAcentral
UUAAGAAUCUUGCACAAUGGGCGCAAGCCUGAUGCAGCGACGCCGCGUGGAUGAUGAAGGCCUUCGGGUUGUAAAGUCCGGUAAGCAGGGAAGAAUAAGCAACGGGUAAUAUUCGUUGUGAUGACGGUACCUGCCUAAAGCCCCGGCUAACUACGUGCCAGCAGCCGCGGUAAUACGUAUGGGGCAAGCGUUGUUCGGAAUUAUUGGGCGUAAAGGGCGUCUAGGCGGGGGAUUAAGUUAGAUGUGAAAGCUAUGGGCUCAACCCAUAAAUUGCAUCUAAGACUGGUUCUCUUGAGUCCGGGAGAGGAGAGCGGAAUUCCAGGUGUAGCGGUGAAAUGCGUAGAUAUCUGGAAGAACACCAGUGGCGAAGGCGGCUCUCUGGCCUAGGACUGACGCUGAAGCGCGAAAGCGUGGGGAGCGAACAG